CGUGCAGGCGGUUCGGUUAGUUGGAUGUGAAAGCUCCUGGCUUAACUGGGAGAGGUCGUUCAAUACUGCCGGACUUGAGAGUGGUAGAGGGAGUUGGAAUUCCGGGUGUAGUGGUAAAAUGCGUAGAUAUCCGGAAGAACACCAGUGGCGAAAGCGGACUCCUGGACCAUUUCUGACGCUCAGACGCGAAAGCUAGGGGAGCGAACGGGAUUAGAGACCCCGGUAGUCCUAGCUGUAAACGAUGUAGACUUGGCGUUGGAGGGGUUAAAUCCUUCAGUGCCGAAGCAAACGCGAUAAGUCUACCGCCUGGGGACUACGGCCGCAAGGUUAAA
RNAcentral lists this ribosomal RNA (332 nucleotides) under uncultured Bellilinea sp. RNAcentral's name for it is "bacterial SSU rRNA". It matches the Rfam family "Bacterial small subunit ribosomal RNA", at positions 568 to 898 of the family's 1533-position model. The record is from RNAcentral. Lineage: Bacteria; Bacillati; Chloroflexota; Anaerolineae; Anaerolineales; Anaerolineaceae.